This 324-nucleotide ribosomal RNA is filed under the name Centrodora acridiphagus. RNAcentral describes it as "eukaryotic LSU rRNA". It matches the Rfam family "Eukaryotic large subunit ribosomal RNA", at positions 666 to 944 of the family's 3401-position model. The record is from RNAcentral. Lineage: Eukaryota; Metazoa; Arthropoda; Insecta; Hymenoptera; Aphelinidae.
CCAAGGAGUCUAACAUGUACGCGAGUCAUUGGGACUAGAAAAGCCUAAAGGCGUAAUGAAAGUAAAGGUUCUACUUUAGCUGGAACCGAGGGAGGAUGGCUCGCGUCACGAUGCGAGCCCGCACUCCCGGGGCGUCUCGAGCUCUUGCGUUUCGGCGUACGAGCUGAGGCGCACCAAGAGCGUACACGUUGGGACCCGAAAGAUGGUGAACUAUGCCUGGUCAGGACGAAGUCAGGGGAAACCCUGAUGGAGGUCCGUAGCGAUUCUGACGUGCAAAUCGAUCGUCGGAACUGGGUAUAGGGGCGAAAGACUAAUCGAACCAUC